AACGAACGCUGGCGGCAGGCCUAACACAUGCAAGUCGAGCGCUGUAGCAAUACAGAGCGGCGCACGGGUGAGUAACACGUGGGAACGUGCCCUUUGGUUCGGAAUAACUCAGGGAAACUUGAGCUAAUACCGGAUGAGCCCUAACGGGGAAAGAUUUAUCGCCGAAGGAGCGGCCCGCGUCGGAUUAGCUAGUUGGUGGGGUAAAAGCCUACCAAGGCAACGAUCCGUAGCUGGUUUGAGAGAACGACCAGCCACACUGGGACUGAGACACGGCCCAGACUCCUACGGGAGGCAGCAGUGGGGAAUCUUGGACAAUGGGGGAAACCCUGAUCCAGCCAUGCCGCGUGAGUGAUGAAGGCCCUAGGGUUGUAAAACUCUUUCGGCGGGGACGAUAAUGACGGUACCCGCAGAAGAAGCUCCGGCUAACUUCGUGC
Molecule: ribosomal RNA, 434 nt
Filed under: uncultured bacterium
Lineage: Bacteria
Description: bacterial SSU rRNA
Rfam family: Bacterial small subunit ribosomal RNA
Source: RNAcentral